RNAcentral lists this ribosomal RNA (497 nucleotides) under uncultured bacterium. Its description in RNAcentral is "partial 16S ribosomal RNA". It matches the Rfam family "Bacterial small subunit ribosomal RNA", at positions 28 to 507 of the family's 1533-position model. The record is from RNAcentral.
GACGAACGCUGGCGGCGUGCCUAAUACAUGCAAGUUGAGCGCUGAAGGUUGGUACUUGUACCAACUGGAUGAGCAGCGAACGGGUGAGUAACGCGUGGGGAAUCUGCCUUUGAGCGGGGGACAACAUUUGGAAACGAAUGCUAAUACCGCAUAAAAACUUUAAACACAAGUUUUAAGUUUGAAAGAUGCAAUUGCAUCACUCAAAGAUGAUCCCGCGUUGUAUUAGCUAGUUGGUGAGGUAAAGGCUCACCAAGGCGAUGAUACAUAGCCGACCUGAGAGGGUGAUCGGCCACAUUGGGACUGAGACACGGCCCAAACUCCUACGGGAGGCAGCAGUAGGGAAGCUUCGGCAAUAGACGAAAGUCUGACCGAGCAACGCCGCGUGAGUGAAGAAGGUUUUCGGAUCGUAAAACUCUGUUGGUAGAGAAGAACGUUGGUGAGAGUGGAAAGCUCAUCAAGUGACGGUAACUACCCAGAAAGGGACGGCUAACUACGUG